RNAcentral lists this ribosomal RNA (555 nucleotides) under uncultured bacterium. Its description in RNAcentral is "partial 16S ribosomal RNA". It matches the Rfam family "Bacterial small subunit ribosomal RNA", at positions 355 to 900 of the family's 1533-position model. The record is from RNAcentral.
UAGGGAAUCUUCCACAAUGGACGCAAGUCUGAUGGAGCAACGCCGCGUGAGUGAAGAAGGUUUUCGGACCGUAAAGCUCUGUCGUUGGUGAAGAAGGAUAGAGGUAGUAACUGGCCUUUAUUUGACGGUAAUCAACCAGAAAGUCACGGCUAACUACGUGCCAGCAGCCGCGGUAAUACGUAGGUGGCAAGCGUUGUCCGGAUUUAUUGGGCGUAAAGCGAGCGCAGGCGGAAGAAUAAGUCUGAUGUGAAAGCCCUCGGCUUAACCGAGGAAUUGCAUCGGAAACUGUUUUUCUUGAGUGCAGAAGAGGAGAGUAGAACUCCAUGUGUAGCGGUGGAAUGCGUAGAUAUAUGGAAGAAUACCAGUGGCGAAGGCGGCUCUCUGGUCUGCAACUGACGCUGAGGCUCGAAAGCAUGGGUAGCGAACAGGAUUAGAUACCCUGGUAGUCCAUGCCGUAAACGAUGAGUGCUAAGUGUUGGGAGGCUUCCGCCUCUCAGUGCUGCAGCUAACGCAUUAAGCACUCCGCCUGGGGGAGUACGACCGCAAGGUUGAAAC